AUACUUACCUUAAGAUGUCAGAGGAGAUCAAGAAGUCCUUCUGACCAGGCAUCGUUUUUUUCCAAUUUAGAGGGAAGUUAUGCAUUUCCUGCAUUGGAAGUUCUCUGAUCUUUUGGGAUAAGAAAACUUCUUUUUGCUCCAAUUGAUGUAAACUCCCUGGUCACUUGCACAUACUUGCGGAAAGGUGUCUGCUGACGUUUCGUUCCCUAAUUCCAAUAAGUGGGUUAAUUUCUUUGUUUUUUCUUAAUUGCAAAAGCUUGGAUUUUUAUCUGCUUUUGGAGUCCUGUGUUCAUUCUGCCUGGAGAAUUAUGGCACCAGGUAUUAUAACUGGUGCUUGGGGAGCUGGUUACUGUAUGGUAUUCAGAUUCGAGGGCAUUUUGUCCUAAUUGGGAUUCCAGUUUAAGUAAUCAUAGUUGCUUUGAGGAAGCCAAGGUGUUAUGACUGGUUCUUCUUAACAUUGGGUGAUGACUAUUGCUCUUUUGAGUAGUAUGAAUUUAUCUGAAGUGGAGGUUCUGGUAAUAGCAUAAAGAUGCUGAUAGUCCUUAUUACCCAAUAUUCUCAUGGAGGCCACUGAUUCUAGGUUUUCAAUCUAUGAAGGUUGAGUGGUUGUGAGAUAGUGGGUUUGGUCUGCCACUCUUGAACUUGGAUGCCUCUUUUCAGCACUAUGGCACCUUUACUAGAUGACAUGGAAUGGGAUUUAUCUCUUUUCAUGGAGUUUGGUAUGGGUAAGUUACUUCUGUGAAUUUCUGAGUCUUCUUGGCUUUUUUUUAGGAAGAGCCGAGAGCUAUACAGGUAUUGGUAGAAACGGGUGGGUCUUAUAAUUUUUGAUUCUCUUU
Molecule: small nuclear RNA, 836 nt
Filed under: Nakaseomyces glabratus
Lineage: Eukaryota; Fungi; Ascomycota; Saccharomycetes; Saccharomycetales; Saccharomycetaceae
Description: [Candida] glabrata SNR19
Rfam family: Yeast U1 spliceosomal RNA (bases 1-594)
About the family: U1 is a small nuclear RNA (snRNA) component of the spliceosome (involved in pre-mRNA splicing).
Source: RNAcentral